GGAGAGGUACGAAAGUGGCUUAAUCGACUUGCUUGGAAAGCAAGCGUACCGCAAGGUACCGUGGGUUCGAAUCCCACCCUCUCCG
Molecule: transfer RNA, 85 nt
Filed under: Deltaproteobacteria bacterium CG11_big_fil_rev_8_21_14_0_20_49_13
Lineage: Bacteria; Deltaproteobacteria
Description: tRNA-Ser
Rfam family: tRNA
About the family: Transfer RNA (tRNA) molecules are approximately 80 nucleotides in length. Their secondary structure includes four short double-helical elements and three loops (D, anti-codon, and T loops). Further hydrogen bonds mediate the characteristic L-shaped molecular structure. tRNAs have two regions of fundamental functional importance: the anti-codon, which is responsible for specific mRNA codon recognition, and the 3' end, to which the tRNAs corresponding amino acid is attached (by aminoacyl-tRNA synthetases). tRNAs cope with the degeneracy of the genetic code in two manners: having more than one tRNA (with a specific anti-codon) for a particular amino acid; and 'wobble' base-pairing, i.e. permitting non-standard base-pairing at the 3rd anti-codon position.
Source: RNAcentral